This 442-nucleotide ribosomal RNA is filed under the name uncultured Hyphomicrobiaceae bacterium. Its description in RNAcentral is "bacterial SSU rRNA". It matches the Rfam family "Bacterial small subunit ribosomal RNA", at positions 335 to 795 of the family's 1533-position model. Lineage: Bacteria; Pseudomonadati; Pseudomonadota; Alphaproteobacteria; Hyphomicrobiales; Hyphomicrobiaceae. The record is from RNAcentral.
UGCCUACGGGUGGCAGCAGUGGGGAAUAUUGGACAAUGGGCGAAAGCCUGAUCCAGCCAUGCCGCGUGGGUGAAGAAGGCCUUAGGGUUGUAAACCCCUUUCAGCGGGGAAGAUAAUGACGGUACCCGCAGAAGAAGUCCCGGCUAACUCCGUGCCAGCAGCCGCGGUAAUACGGAGGGGACUAGCGUUGUUCGGAAUUACUGGGCGUAAAGCGCGCGUAGGCGGAUUUGCAAGUCGGGGGUGAAAGCCCGAGGCUCAACCGCGGAACUGCCCUAGAUACUGCAAAUCUCGAGUCCGAGAGAGGUGAGUGGAAUUCCUAGUGUAGAGGUGAAAUUCGUAGAUAUUAGGAAGAACACCAGUGGCGAAGGCGGCUCACUGGCUCGGUACUGACGCUGAGGCGCGAAAGCGUGGGGAGCAAACAGGAUUAGAUACCCUAGUAGUC